GGGCGCGUAGCUCAGCUUGGUAAGAGCGUUCGACUGAUAAUCGAAAGGUCCUCGGUUCAAAUCCGAGCGUGCCCA
RNAcentral lists this transfer RNA (75 nucleotides) under Candidatus Aenigmatarchaeota archaeon. RNAcentral's name for it is "tRNA-Ile". It matches the Rfam family "tRNA". Rfam says of the family: Transfer RNA (tRNA) molecules are approximately 80 nucleotides in length. Their secondary structure includes four short double-helical elements and three loops (D, anti-codon, and T loops). The record is from RNAcentral. Lineage: Archaea; Nanobdellati; Candidatus Aenigmatarchaeota.